UAUAGGCCGGGACUCACACCGAAGCUAUGGCAAGAAGAAUUCAGACAUGAACCAAACAGUUUUAUAAAUCAAGAAUUUAAAAGAAAAUUCACACACUGGCCUGUGUGUCCGCUGCACCUGUAAGCCAGCAGCACUGAAAAAUAAUGCUGAAGAACACUGGCCCGUGGCCAAACCUGACACAUUGACACGCAGAGGCCAGAGAUGAAACCGAGAAGACACAGAACGACGUGCUUCACGCCGAGAAUGUUAAAGCGGGCCGAGACAAAUACAAAACGCUGCGCCAGAUCCGACGAGGCAACACGAAGCAGCGCAUCGAUGAAUUUGAGUCCAUGUGAGAACAGCGCCUCUCCCUCCUCGGCCCGCUUUGCCUCAGGGGUACGCGUUUCCGAACAGUCCCCCCAGUGAGUGCCCCUCAACAAACCCCAAGCAAUCUUGAGAAAUAAUCUUGUCAAACUUUGCCAAAGUCCUGCCCCGCAUCUCCACUCCAGUUUGAAAAUCGCUACGAUACAGAGCUGCUUACACGCCACUUUGAACAAGCAAAUAUCGUCAAACUGCAGAGGUCAUCUUUAAUCCACAGGGGAAAAGAGAAACUGUAAAACCAAAAUGGAAGCAAUUGGAUUUUUUUUAUUUUGAGCAAACAUGGCCAUAGAAAGCUACUUUUGUUGUGUUUUUUUGUUUGCUUAACGACUUAUAUGCAAAGCUUUAGUACGUCUUCAGUUAAAGUAACCUGUCCUCUCCUUGUUUUUAAGUUCUUUUCCUCUGCUUUUGUUUGACUCGUUUUAUUGACGAUGCCCUUCUUUUUAGUUGUCUGUCGAACACAAUGAGGAGUUUGGGAAUAAAUGAGGUCAAUAUUUUCAUUCAGUGUCAAAGCGCUGCUAUGUUACAUCAGGUCACAACAUUUCACAUGCUAAAUAUGUUAGAGAGCUGAGCUGAGAUCAUUUCACUCUAUUCAGUCUAUUCAAACUAUUGUUUUAAUUUCACAUUAACAGGUUUAUAUUUGAAUAGUUUCAUUUGAGGCUAAAUAUCAAGAAUAGCAACAUUUUCUGAUUUUGAUGAAAAUCCAUCGUGUGAAGUGAAUUGACCCUCGUAGGGAAAAGAGCCACCCAACCUGAACGAAUGUAGCACAGGUAACAAAGGGAAAGUGUUUUACGUGCAGAGGUGAUAGGACAGCAUGUAAUAAGCUUGUGCCACUGAAGAGUGGACAGACAGAACAGACAGAUUAGUAAUGUGUCCAAGCUGUUUGUCUGUUUGUCCAAAUGUGUGUGUGUGUGUGUGUGUGUGUGUUUGUGAGAGAGAGAGAGAGAGAGGGUGUACAUGAGUGUGUGUGGAGGUGUGGAAGCUGAGGCCUGGCACCUUUCUGGCUGGGGAGCUUAUGAAAACAUCAGUCCUCCACCCGGGACAAAUCUCUACCUCAGUAAUGUUAGCAGUGGUGACUGACAGUCAAACACUCUGGGUGUAACCCCCCCCCACCCCCACCUCUACGGGCUACGUUUGGUCAGAGCUUAGUUGCUUCGUGGCUGUAUGUUGGUCAAGUGAGAUCUAGUUUGGAAAGAGUUUUUUUCUUACAUUUGAAGCUGGUUUUACUUGGUGGUCUCUCCCUCCUCCUGGCCUUGCUCAGAUGUUUCUAUUCAUUCUCAUUUUGUCUGAAAAUAAUCCCAAACAAUGAGGAAGGUGAAUUAAAUAAUGUUGCAGAUAUGAGAACGGAGAUGUACUAUAAUAUACGGAUCUGACUGGGUCCUGUGAUGCGUUUGGUUUCUUAAGAGCCAUAAGUGGUAAAAGGCUGGGUCUAUGGAACCAGCUGGACUCUAGACAUCUUAAAAGAAGGCUCUCCUGUAAAAUGAUUCAAAUGGCCUUCAAAGUCUGCACUGAACUUUUCUCUCCUCUUUUACAAUUUCAAUGAAAGGAGACAGUUUGCAGACCUGCAUAGAAUUCUUGAGAUUUUUUUUUUUAUUAACAAUAUGAUGAAAAAUGUUUAUGGUAUUAUUUGUUACUGCUAUACUUGACAGCUGGUGUAGGUUGACUUUUUUUUUUUUUUUUUUUUUUGAUAGUCAGAGUUUUAAAGUCAAAGCACUUGUAUGAAACAAGACACUGAAGACUGCCUUUUGUGUUUAACUUCACAGUGUCCAUUGUUAGUGUUGUGUUUGCCAUAGCAGGUGAAAAAAAUGAUCCUGUGCUUCCAGCUCAUAUUUUUGUAUUGUGUACAAAGACCGUAAACCAGCAGCAUGCAUCGCUAUACUGGACAGCUUAAUUGGAGGGGAAAACUCACACCACACCCCCAAACCUUCCACAAUCAAACUAUAAGGCUUCAGUUAGACUCCGUCUUUCUUCGCAGCAGAAUGUUAUUAGCCUGCCUGCCUGUCCCCUCCAACGAAGCCAGCGUCUGUGAUGAUGUCUGCUCUGGCACCAGCUGUCAUGUUUCGCUGUUUGUUUUUUUUUCUUUUUUCUGUUGUUUUUUUUUCCUCCCCUUAUGUUCAUGAUAGUAUUCUUUAAGAUAGAAGGCACAGAUGGAUUGCGGUCCAUUUCAUUGGUUCACAAAUAAAAGUUUUAAAUUUUGA
Long non-coding RNA from Seriola aureovittata, 2555 nucleotides. RefSeq lists it as uncharacterized. NCBI's taxonomy places the organism in Eukaryota, Metazoa, Chordata, Actinopteri, Carangiformes, Carangidae. The transcript has 2 exons. The record is from RefSeq and is a predicted model, not a curated record.